CAAACUGGAAGAAGCAGAGAAGACGAAGCAGGCCGGCCAGUACCUCGACUUGCUUCUGCAGGGACUGGACGUAGUUGAUGAUCUCGUCGAGCAUGCCGGCCUUGCCGGUGACCUUGCUGCACCCGGGCACCAGCUCCUGCAGGUAUCUCAUCCGCUCGCUGAUCCUCUCCCUCCUCACCUGCACAACAUUCGGCGAUUGAUUCUGAGUUCUGACAGCAGCAGGAUGCAUACGCAAGGUAGGAUCGGUGGUGAUGUGCGGCAUCAUCGAGCGUGCAAAAUGGUAGCUGUGGCUUGUGGGUAGUACCCGCUCGGCGAGGCUGUGGCUGUCCGUGGCCUGGCCGCGGCGUGCCCGGACGUGGAUGUAGUCGGUCUUCUGGCCGGCAGCCGCCGCCGUCGACGCCGCCUCCGCCUUCUUCUUGGUCCCCGCCUUUGGCCUCUCCUGCUUCCCUUUCCCGGGCGCCGCGAUCUCACCGAGGCCACCCAGCUGCUGCUGCUUCCCUCUGGGUCUCUUGCUCAUGUCGUUGCCAUCACCCUGCCCAAGGCCAAGUUUCGACACACGCGUCAGUCAAAGACUUCAAUCGAAUUUGCACGGCACUACGGCAGUGCACAUCUCCGGUAGAGGAUUGCACCGUGAUAGCAUAAAUCUCUCACCUUGGCGUCGAGGUACGCGUCCGGCCGCCUCUUCCUGAAUCCGCCGGCGCCGGCGCUGCCGCUGCACGAGGAGGUGUCGUUGCCGUCGCCGGCGCCCGGCGCCGCCGCGGCCGGCGCGCCAAGGCUCGCGCCGCACAUGGCGCCCAGGUCCGGCCACUCCUGGAGGUAGCCGAACGCGCUGCACAUUGCGCCGAACUUGUCGUCGUCGAGGUCCAGCAGGCCCUGGCACAGGCUCUCGACGGUCCCCUGGCAUCGCGCCAUCUGCAGCCCUCCCGAGGCGAUCGAGCUCAGCGCUGUGGCCUAAGCAGAAAACCAACGAUGCCCGACAAGGCUUCCUUGGCUCAGCUGCUUGGCGCAGGCAGGCGCGCGCGUGAGCUGUGAGCCCCCGAUGAAGAGAGAAUUCGAGCAGCGUGGCUGGCAAUUAUGCAGGAGGUGUGCGGGCGUGGUAGCGUAGGGUGGGGGGAGGGUCUUGUGGGUGAAGCUUGCGCGUCCCUUUCGAUCCCCUGCGUCUGUGGCCUCCUGGAAAAUUUCCCAAUCCAUAUAUAUAGGGAGAACGGCGGGUGGAUGGAUAGGGGAGGGCCUUUGCUUGGGGGCGAU
This 1248-nucleotide long non-coding RNA is filed under the name Setaria italica (foxtail millet). RNAcentral's name for it is "long non-coding RNA (SITA_LNC000658)". Lineage: Eukaryota; Viridiplantae; Streptophyta; Magnoliopsida; Poales; Poaceae. The record is from RNAcentral.